UGGGGAAUUUUGGACAAUGGGCGAAAGCCUGAUCCAGCCAUGCCGCGUGAGUGAAGAAGGCCUUCGGGUUGUAAAGCUCUUUUAGUCGGAAAGAAAGAGUUGCAAUGAAUAAUUGUGAUUUAUGACGGUACCGACAGAAAAAGCACCGGCUAACUACGUGCCAGCAGCCGCGGUAAUACGUAGGGUGCGAGCGUUAAUCGGAAUUACUGGGCGUAAAGGGUGCGCAGGCGGUCUUGCAAGUCAGAUGUGAAAGCCCCGGACUUAACCUGGGAAUUGCGUUUGAAACUACAAGGCUAGAGUGCAGCAGAGGGGAGUGGAAUUCCAUGUGUAGCAGUGAAAUGCGUAGAGAUGUGGAAGAACACCGAUGGCGAAGGCAGCUCCCUGGGUUGACACUGACGCUCAUGCACGAAAGCGUGGGGAGCAAACA
RNAcentral lists this ribosomal RNA (427 nucleotides) under uncultured beta proteobacterium. Its description in RNAcentral is "bacterial SSU rRNA". It matches the Rfam family "Bacterial small subunit ribosomal RNA", at positions 355 to 774 of the family's 1533-position model. Lineage: Bacteria; Pseudomonadati; Pseudomonadota; Betaproteobacteria. The record is from RNAcentral.